CCUACGGGUGACAGCAGUGGGGAAUAUUGCACAAUGGGGGAAACCCUGAUGCAGCGACGCCGCGUGAGUGAUGAAGUAUUUCGGUAUGUAAAGCUCUAUCUGCAGGGAAGAAAAUGACGGUACCUGAGUAAGAAGCCCCGUCUAACUACGUUCCAGCAGCCGCAGUACUACGUAGGGGGCAAGCGUUAUCCGGAUUUACUGGGUGUAAAGGGAGCGUAGACGGCUCUGCAAGUCAGUAGUGAAAGUCGGGGGCUCAACCUUAGGACUGCACUGGAAACUGUAUGGCUGGAGUGCAGGAGAGGUAAGCGGAAUUCCUAGUGUAGCGGUGAAAUGCGUAGAUAUUAGGAGGAACACCAGUGGCGAAGGCGGCUUACUGGACUGUAACUGACGGUGAGGCUCGAAAGCGUGGGGAGCAAACAGGAUUAGAUACCCUAGUAGUC
RNAcentral lists this ribosomal RNA (440 nucleotides) under uncultured bacterium. RNAcentral describes it as "partial 16S ribosomal RNA". It matches the Rfam family "Bacterial small subunit ribosomal RNA", at positions 338 to 795 of the family's 1533-position model. The record is from RNAcentral.